Molecule: ribosomal RNA, 1574 nt
Filed under: uncultured rumen bacterium
Lineage: Bacteria
Description: bacterial SSU rRNA
Rfam family: Bacterial small subunit ribosomal RNA
Source: RNAcentral
AGAGUUUGAUUAUGGCUCAGGAUGAACGCUAGCUACAGGCUUAACACAUGCAAGUCGCGGGGCAGCAUAAAGGGAGCUUGCUUCCUUUGAUGGCGACCGGCGCACGGGUGCGUAACGCGUAUCCAACCUUCCCCUUGGUAGGGCACAGCCCGGCGAAAGUCGGAUUAAUUCCCUAUGUUGUCCGAUGCAGGCAUCUAAGUUGGACGAAAGAUUCAUCGCCGAGGGAUGGGGAUGCGUAGGAUUAGGUAGUCGGCGGGGUAACGGCCCACCGAGCCGUCGAUCCUUAGGGGUUCUGAGAGGAAGGUCCCCCACACUGGAACUGAGACACGGUCCAGACUCCUACGGGAGGCAGCAGUGAGGAAUAUUGGUCAAUGGUCGUAAGACUGAACCAGCCAAGUAGCGUGCAGGACGACGGCCCUAUGGGUUGUAAACUGCUUUUAUGCGGGGAUAAAGUGAGGGACGUGUCCCUUUUUGCAGGUACCGCAUGAAUAAGGACCGGGCUAAUUCCGUGCCAGCAGCCGCGGGUAAUACGGAAGGUCCGGGCGUUAUCCGGGAUUUAUUGGGUUUAAAGGGAGCGCAGGCGGCAUGUCAAGCGUGACGUUAAAUUUCGGGGCUCACCCCCCGUCUUGCGUCGCGAACUGUCGUGCUUGAGUGCGCCGUAUGCAGGGUGGAAUUCGUGGUGUAGCGGUGAAAUGCUUAGAUAUCACGAGGAACCCCGAUAGCGAAGGCAGCCUGCAGUGGCGUUACUGACGCUCAUGCUCGAAGGUGCGGGUAUCGAACAGGAUUAGAUACCCUGGUAGUCCGCACUGUAAACGAUGGAUGCCCGCUGUCCGGCCUUUUGUUGGUUGGGCGGCCAAGAGAAAUCGUUAAGCAUCCCACCUGGGGAGUACGCCGGCAACGGUGAAACUCAAAGGAAUUGACGGGGGCCCGCACAAGCGGAGGAACAUGUGGUUUAAUUCGAUGAUACGCGAGGAACCUUACCCGGGCUUGAACUGCAGCGGAAUGAUACAGAGAUGUUGAAGCCAGCAAUGGCCGCUGUGGAGGUGCUGCAUGGUUGUCGUCAGCUCGUGCCGUGAGGUGUCGGCUUAAGUGCCAUAACGAGCGCAACCCCUCUCGCCAGUUGCCAUCGGGUGAUGCCGGGCACUCUGGGGACACUGCCACCGCAAGGUGUGAGGAAGGUGGGGAUGACGUCAAAUCAGCACGGCCCUUACGUCCGGGGCUACACACGUGUUACAAUGGCGCGUACAGAGCGUUGGCCUCGGGUGACCGUGGUCUAAUCUUGAAAUCGCGUCUCAGUUCGGAUUGGGGUCUGCAACCCGACCCCAUGAAGCUGGAUUCGCUAGUAAUCGCGCAUCAGCCAUGGCGCGGUGAAUACGUUCCCGGGCCUUGUACACACCGCCCGUCAAGCCAUGAAAGCCCGGAGCGCCUGAAGUCCGUUUCCGCGAGGGUCGGCCUAGGGUGAUACGGGUGAUUGGGGCUAAGUCGUAACAAGGUAGCCAAGGGCGAUUCCACAGUGGAUAUCAAGCUUAUCGAUACCGUCGACCUCGAGGGGGGGCCCGGUACCCAGCUUUUGU